Molecule: ribosomal RNA, 253 nt
Filed under: uncultured bacterium
Lineage: Bacteria
Description: partial 16S ribosomal RNA
Rfam family: Bacterial small subunit ribosomal RNA
Source: RNAcentral
GACGGAGGAUGCAAGUGUUAUCCGGAAUCACUGGGCGUAAAGCGUGCGUAGGUGGUUUGUUAAGUCUGAUGUGAAAGCCCUGGGCUCAACCUGGGAAUUGCAUUGGAUACUGGCAGGCUAGAGUGCGGUAGAGGAUGGCGGAAUUCCCGGUGUAGCAGUGAAAUGCGUAGAGAUCGGGAGGAACAUCUGUGGCGAAGGCGGCCAUCUGGACCAGCACUGACACUGAGGCACGAAAGCGUGGGGAGCAAACAGG